Molecule: transfer RNA, 74 nt
Filed under: Rugosimonospora africana
Lineage: Bacteria; Bacillati; Actinomycetota; Actinomycetes; Micromonosporales; Micromonosporaceae
Description: tRNA-Asp
Rfam family: tRNA
About the family: Transfer RNA (tRNA) molecules are approximately 80 nucleotides in length. Their secondary structure includes four short double-helical elements and three loops (D, anti-codon, and T loops). Further hydrogen bonds mediate the characteristic L-shaped molecular structure. tRNAs have two regions of fundamental functional importance: the anti-codon, which is responsible for specific mRNA codon recognition, and the 3' end, to which the tRNAs corresponding amino acid is attached (by aminoacyl-tRNA synthetases). tRNAs cope with the degeneracy of the genetic code in two manners: having more than one tRNA (with a specific anti-codon) for a particular amino acid; and 'wobble' base-pairing, i.e. permitting non-standard base-pairing at the 3rd anti-codon position.
Source: RNAcentral
GGGGUCGUAGCGCAGGAGUCGUCGCGCCCACUUGUCAGGUGGGAGGACGCCGGUGCGAAUCCGGCCGGCCCCGC